This 497-nucleotide ribosomal RNA is filed under the name uncultured bacterium. RNAcentral describes it as "partial 16S ribosomal RNA". It matches the Rfam family "Bacterial small subunit ribosomal RNA", at positions 28 to 507 of the family's 1533-position model. The record is from RNAcentral.
GAUGAACGCUGGCGGCGUGCCUAAUACAUGCAAGUCGAGCGAACAGACGAGGAGCUUGCUCCUCUGACGUGAGCGGCGGACGGGUGAGUAACACGUGGAUAACCUACCUAUAAGACUGGGAUAACUUCGGGAAACCGGCGCUAAUACCGGAUAAUAUAUUGAACCGCAGGGUUCAAUAGUGAAAGACGGUUUUGCUGUCACUUAUAGAUGGAUCCGCGCCGCAUUAGCUAGUUGGUAAGGUAACGGCUUACCAAGGCAACGAUGCGUAGGCGACCUGGGAGGGUGAUCGGCCACACUGGAACGGAGACACGGUCCAGACUCCUACGGGACGCAGCAGUAGGGAAUCUUCCGCAAUGGGCGAAAGCCUGACGGAGCAACGCCGCGUGAGUGAUGAAGGUCUUCGGAUCGUAAAACUCUGUUAUUAGGGAAGAACAACUGUGUAAGUAACUAUGCACGUCUUGACGGUACCUAAUCAGAAAGCCACGGCUAACUACGUG